This 492-nucleotide ribosomal RNA is filed under the name uncultured bacterium. RNAcentral's name for it is "partial 16S ribosomal RNA". It matches the Rfam family "Bacterial small subunit ribosomal RNA", at positions 29 to 507 of the family's 1533-position model. The record is from RNAcentral.
AGUGAACGCUGGCGGUAGGCCUAACACAUGCAAGUCGAACGGCAGCACAGUAAGAGCUUGCUCUUACGGGUGGCGAGUGGCGGACGGGUGAGGAAUACAUCGGAAUCUACUUUUUCGUGGGGGAUAACGUAGGGAAACUUACGCUAAUACCGCAUACGACCUACGGGUGAAAGCAGGGGAUCUUCGGACCUUGCGCGAUUGAAUGAGCCGAUGUCGGAUUAGCUAGUUGGCGGGGUAAAGGCCCACCAAGGCGACGAUCCGUAGCUGGUCUGAGAGGAUGAUCAGCGACACUGGAACUGAGACACGGUCCAUACUCCUGCGGGAGGCAGCAGUGGGGAAUAUUGGACAAUGGGCGCAAGCCUGACCCAGCCAUACCGCGUGGGAGAAGAAGGCCUUCGGGUUGUAAAGCCCUUUUGUUGGGAAAGAAAAGCAGCAGGUUAAUACCCAGCUGUUCUGACGGUACCCAAAGAAUAAGCACCGGCUAACUUCGUG